Molecule: ribosomal RNA, 425 nt
Filed under: uncultured bacterium
Lineage: Bacteria
Description: bacterial SSU rRNA
Rfam family: Bacterial small subunit ribosomal RNA
Source: RNAcentral
UGGGGAAUUGUUCGCAAUGGGCGCAAGCCUGACGACGCAACGCCGCGUGGAGGAUGAAGGUCUUCGGAUUGUAAACUCCUGCUGCUCGGGACGAAUGGCUCCGACCUAACACGUCGGAGUGUGACGGUACCGGGUGAGGAAGCCCCGGCUAACUCUGUGCCAGCAGCCGCGGUAAUACAGAGGGGGCAAGCGUUGUUCGGAAUUACUGGGCGUAAAGGGCGCGUAGGCGGCCUGCUAAGUCGAACGUGAAAUCCCCGGGCUCAACCCGGGAACUGCGUCCGAUACUGGCAGGCUUGAAUCCGGGAGAGGGAUGUGGAAUUCCAGGUGUAGCGGUGAAAUGCGUAGAUAUCUGGAGGAACACCGGUGGCGAAGGCGGCAUCCUGGACCGGCAUUGACGCUGAGGUGCGAAAGCGUGGGGAGCAAAC